This 492-nucleotide ribosomal RNA is filed under the name uncultured bacterium. Its description in RNAcentral is "partial 16S ribosomal RNA". It matches the Rfam family "Bacterial small subunit ribosomal RNA", at positions 28 to 506 of the family's 1533-position model. The record is from RNAcentral.
GACGAACGCUGGCGGCGUGCUUAACACAUGCAAGUCGAACGGUGAAGGGACCGGUUUUUGCUGGUUCUGGAUGAGUGGCGAACGGGUGAGUAACACGUGAGUAACCUGCCCCCUUCUUCUGGAUAACCGCAUGAAAGUGUGGCUAAUACGGGAUAUUCUGCGCCUGCUGCAUGGUGGGUGUGGGAAAGAUAUUGUUUCGGUGGGGGAUGGGCUCGCGGCCUAUCAGCUUGUUGGUGGGGUGAUGGCCUACCAAGGCGGUGACGGGUAGCCGGCCUGAGAGGGUGGACGGUCACACUGGGACUGAGACACGGCCCAGACUCCUACGGGAGGCAGCAGUGGGGAGUAUUGCACAAUGGGCGCAAGCCUGAUGCAGCGACGCCGCGUGAGGGAUGGAGGCCUUCGGGUUGUAAACCUCUUUCGCCAGUGAAGCAGGCCUGUCCCUUUUGUGGGUGGGUUGACGGUAGCUGGAUAAGAAGCGCCGGCUAACUACGU